This 496-nucleotide ribosomal RNA is filed under the name uncultured bacterium. Its description in RNAcentral is "partial 16S ribosomal RNA". It matches the Rfam family "Bacterial small subunit ribosomal RNA", at positions 28 to 507 of the family's 1533-position model. The record is from RNAcentral.
GAUGAACGCUGGCGGCGUGCCUAAUACAUGCAAGUCGAGCGAACGGACGAGAAGCUUGCUUCUCUGAUGUUAGCGGCGGACGGGUGAGUAACACGUGGAUAACCUACCUAUAAGACUGGGAUAACUUCGGGAAACCGGAGCUAAUACCGGAUAAUAUUUUGAACCGCAUGGUUCAAAAGUGAAAGACGGUCUUGCUGUCACUUAUAGAUGGAUCCGCGCUGCAUUAGCUAGUUGGUAAGGUAACGGCUUACCAAGGCAACGAUGCAUAGCCGACCUGAGAGGGUGACCGCCAACACUGGACCUAGACCACGGUCCAGCCGCCUAGGGGAGGCAGAAGAAGGAAAUUUCCCGAAAGGGGGGAAACCCGGCCGGACAAACGCGGGGUGAGUGUUGAAGGCCUCCGGUUCGUAAACCUCUUUAAUUAGGAAAGACAAAAGGUGUAAGUACCGGUGAAAAUUUGGCGGGUCCCUAUCAAGAAAGCACGGCCAACUUCCUG